Molecule: long non-coding RNA, 476 nt
Organism: Manduca sexta (tobacco hornworm)
Lineage: Eukaryota; Metazoa; Arthropoda; Insecta; Lepidoptera; Sphingidae
Exons: 2
Source: RefSeq, a predicted model, not a curated record
GAACUCUUUGCCAGCAGUCAAGCGCGACGUAUCGCGCCAGAAACACCUAGUUAUGAAUUUGCGAGGUUGACCGAAGUUAAUUAUAGCUACGUGUCUCCUGUCUGUAACAUAGAGAAAACCAGUAAUCGUGAGGGACAUACUCGUAUAAACUGCAGAAGGAAGACUGAAGAAGAUGGCUUGUAUUAAGAAGAAAAAUGUCGUAGAAGGCUUUCUAUUCUUACAGCAAAAACAUAAACUAUAGAAAAAAAUAUAAAGAUCCAAUAAUUGGUGAGAAUACUACGAGUUUCAAUAGUUGUUUGAGAAGUAAGUAGAUUAUCACGUUUUUGCUACUGAACCAUUAAUAUGAAAUGUAAUACAAACUACCAUCAUACCAGUAGUUCGGCUGUACAUAAAAAUAUUAUGAAUUGAAAAUGUUAUAAUCUUACUUAAACUUUAACUAUUAUACAAUAUUGUAUGAAAUAAAUUCCAAAGCAAUG